AUGGACGGCGAGUGGAGCGACGGGGCGGUGUCCGGUGGCGAGCAGAAGGCCAGCGGGGACGGCGUUUCGGCGGACUGCAACAGCCCGGGGUCGCCUUCGCCACCGGCGGUGCCGUCGACUAGCGGGAGGAGGCGGUCGUUGCAGAAGCGAGUGGUGACCGUGCCUCUCGCCGAUUUGAACGUCCCGCGGCCCAAGGGCGUCGGAGAGGGCAACACGCCGACAGACUCGUGGGCGUGGCGGAAGUACGGCCAGAAGCCCAUCAAGGGCUCACCCUUCCCAAGGGCUUACUACAGGUGCAGUAGCUCCAAGGGGUGCCCGGCGAGGAAGCAGGUGGAGAGGAGCCAGGCCGACCCGGACACGGUGCUCAUCACCUACUCCUACGAGCACAACCACUCCAGCACGGUGGCGAGGGCGCAGAGCCGCCCGACCCCGACACCGAAACCCAACAAGGAGCGGCCGCUCCCGUCGCCCGAGCCAGCGAAAUCUGACGGCACGCACCAUGGAACCGCCAACGUUGCCGGCGGCCUAGUCACCGCGAGCCCGGCGCCGGCCAUCGAGGUGCACGACGAUUUCCGGUGGCUCUACGACGUCGUGUCCGUCACCUCGUCGACGUCGCCCUCCGAAGUCGAGGCGGCCGACGACAUGCUGCUGUACGGGCCCAUGUUCUUCGGCAAACCGGUGGUCGAGGUCGACACGGCCGCGCUCCUUCCCGGCGAGUUCGGCGGCGAGGCCGUCGGCGGGGAAGGGGGCGAAGAAGACGACGCAAUGUUCGCGGGGCUCGGCGAGCUGCCGGAGUGCGCCAUAGUGUUCCGGCGGCAUGCCCGCGACGGCCUGGCGGCAAUGGCGGGAGGGGUCAAGGUCGAGCAGCCGGCGGAGGGCACAGCCAUGACGUGA
RNAcentral lists this ribosomal RNA (894 nucleotides) under Triticum aestivum (bread wheat). RNAcentral describes it as "partial small subunit ribosomal RNA". Lineage: Eukaryota; Viridiplantae; Streptophyta; Magnoliopsida; Poales; Poaceae. The record is from RNAcentral.